Long non-coding RNA from Ochotona princeps (American pika), 1920 nucleotides. RefSeq lists it as uncharacterized. The transcript is spliced from 3 exons. Lineage: Eukaryota; Metazoa; Chordata; Mammalia; Lagomorpha; Ochotonidae. The record is from RefSeq and is a predicted model, not a curated record.
UUGGCCUCACCAUCAACAUUGGCCUCACCCCCCUGCUGGCCAUAAUUACCAGCUUCACCCUCCUGCUGGCCCUCAGCGUGGGCCCCAUGCUGCUGCUGCUGGUCCUCAGUAUUGCGCUUGUUCCCCUCUGAUUCCUCCAACCCAGCAUCACCCUCCUGCUGGCUCUCCUCGUCGGCGUCACCAUCCUCCUGUUCCUCCUCACCAGCUUCACCCUCCUCCCAUUCCUCCUCACAGGCCUCACCCUCCUCCCAUUCCUUCUGACUCUCACUCUCCUCUCAUCCCUCCUUGUGAUCCUCCCCCUCCUGAUCCUCCACCCAAGCCUCACCAUCUUCCUUUUCACCCACUCCAGCCUCAUCAGCCUCCUGUGCCUCGAUCCAAGCCUCAUCGUCGUCCUGCUCUCUCGCUCUGGCCUCACCCUCCUCCUGGUCCUCCCCCUCAUUCUCGCCGUGCCUUUCAUCAUCCUCGCCGGCCUCACCCUCCUUCUGACCCUUCCCUCCUGCAUCGUCCUCCCUCUGUUCCUGCACGGUGGCCUCACCCUCCUCCUGGUCCCCCACCCAGGGGUCACCCUCCUUCUCAUCCUUCCCACCAUCUUUGCCCUAUAUCAUCAGGUCCUCUACCCCAGCCGUGCCCUCCUUCUGACCCUCCACAAAACCCUUGAUCUCCGUCUGCUCCUGAACAACCACCUCCCCCUCCUGACACCCCGCACUAGCCUCCUGUUAUCCCUGACCCCUGCUUCAUAGUGCCCUGUACUCCAUUCCCUACCCACACCCUCUAUCUGGUUGUCCUCCAACCUUCUUGAUACUCAGAUCCCAUCCUGGAGAGACUGUUUCCCAACUACAAGGACAGUUCUGGCACAGCUGACAAUUGUAAGGAUGCUGAAUCUCCAGAAGCCUGAUCUGGUGGGCAUAGGGAAUAUGGGAACAUGACAAACCAACCCCCAACCUAAAAACUCAACCCUGUUUGGUUUCAGGACCCUUGUCCAUGAGAAGAUCCCAGUUAUGUGACCCUGUGUGCAUUUGGUCUUCACCCCCAUCUUGUUAACCCUUGUUACGUAGCAAAGGACCUUUCAGUUUUCAUUUAUUCCACACAGGCAAUUCAUUUCUUCUCCUACGUGAGUCUUUUGUGAUUCAGUCUCUACAUUUACAACUAGCUUCCUUGUGAAAUAUUGUAUGUGACUACAGAGCACAGACUGCAGGGUCAGCAUCAGGAAAAGGAGAAAAUAUGAGGAUUGGUCCCACUACUGUGCCUGAUGUUAAACUGAGAACUCACAAAUAAAGCACAAGGACUCUGCUCUAGACAGAUGGAAGCGCACAUGGUUUGGGUUUGGGAUUUUUCGGGUUGGGGACUUGCUUGUAGCUGUUGUUUUGGUCAGCUUCCAUAAAACUCCUAGUUUUCUUUAUCUUGAGCUCAGAAUUUUGCCAAGGACUUCCUGCCUGCAUGAAGGAGUCAAGACCUUCCACUGUAUGCUCCUCAAAAUUCCAAAGGUGAGAUCAUCUACUCCUCUACACCAGGAUGUGAAAGGGAGCAGAUACAGGACAAGAGUGUGUCCAGAUCUCACCGGAUGAUAACAUCAGAUGAACCAGUGGUAUAUUCUCAAGAACUCUGCUUACACUGGAGUUGUUUGCCCCAGAUGAGGACUAGUCUUCAAUUAACUACCUCCUGUGUCUACCGAUGAUGGCGGGAAUCUAAAUGUCACACCUGAAUGUCAACUUCCAUUUUACGAAAAGGAAGAUUUCCAGUGAUCACGCAACAACUUCCAGACACACAAGUGAAUAUUUCAUUCCAGCCGAUAGAGAGACUGCUUGCCAGAAAACAAACGUUUGCAGAACAUUUACAUUGCACGUGUAAUUGUGAGACACAGAUGAUUGAAAACAUUGUAGAUAUUACACCACUACUCCCAGGGAUCAGCAGCAGACGAUU